RNAcentral lists this transfer RNA (70 nucleotides) under Cordylochernes scorpioides. Its description in RNAcentral is "tRNA-Gly". Lineage: Eukaryota; Metazoa; Arthropoda; Arachnida; Pseudoscorpiones; Chernetidae. The record is from RNAcentral.
UGCAUCGGCCGGGAAUCGAACCAGGGCACCCGCGUGGCAGGCGAGCAUUCUACCACUGAACCACCUAUAC